This 466-nucleotide ribosomal RNA is filed under the name uncultured bacterium. Its description in RNAcentral is "partial 16S ribosomal RNA". It matches the Rfam family "Bacterial small subunit ribosomal RNA", at positions 28 to 507 of the family's 1533-position model. The record is from RNAcentral.
GAUGAACGCUGGCGGCGUGCUUAACACAUGCAAGUCGAACGAUGAAGCCCAGCUUGCUGGGUGGAUUAGUGGCGAACGGGUGAGUAACACGUGAGUAACCUGCCCUUAACUCUGGGAUAAGCCUGGGAAACUGGGUCUAAUACCGGAUAGGAGCGUCCACCGCAUGGUGGGUGUUGGAAAGAUUUAUCGGUUUUGGAUGGACUCGCGGCCUAUCAGCUUGUUGGUGAGGUAAUGGCUCACCAAGGCGACGUCGGGUAGCCGGCCUGAGAGGGUGACCGGCCACACUGGGACUGAGACACGGCCCAGACUCCUACGGGAGGCAGCAGUGGGGAAUAUUGCACAAUGGGCGCAAGCCUGAUGCAGCGACGCCGCGUGAGGGAUGACGGCCUUCGGGUUGUAAACCUCUUUCAGUAGGGAAGAAGCGAAAGUGACGGUACCUGCAGAAGAAGCACCGGCUAACUACGUG